AGUGAAUGCUGGCGGUAGGCCUAACACAUGCAAGUCGAACGGCAGCUCACUAAGAUCUUGCUCUUACGGGUUGCGAGUGGCGUACGUGUGACGUAUACAUCGUAAUCUACUUUUUCGUGGUGCUUCACGUAGGUAAACUUACGCUAAUACCGCAUACGCCCUACGGGUGUAAGCAUGUGAUCUUCGCACCUUUCUCGUUUGUAUGAGCCGAUGUCGGAUUAGCUAGUUGGCGGGGUAAAUGCCCACCAUGGCGACGAUCCGUAGCUGAUCUGAGAGGAUGAUCAGACACACGGGAAGUGAGAAAGGGUCCAGAAUACUACGGGAGGCAGCAGUGGGGAAUAUUGGACAAUGGGCGAAAGCAUGAUCCAGCCAGACCGAGUGGGUGAAGAAGGCCUUCGGGUUGUAAAGCCAGUUUGUUGGGAAAGAAAAGCAGCAGGUUAAUACCAAGAUGUUCUGACGGUACCCAAAGAAUAAGCACCGGCUAACUUCGUG
RNAcentral lists this ribosomal RNA (492 nucleotides) under uncultured bacterium. RNAcentral's name for it is "partial 16S ribosomal RNA". It matches the Rfam family "Bacterial small subunit ribosomal RNA", at positions 29 to 507 of the family's 1533-position model. The record is from RNAcentral.